This 583-nucleotide ribosomal RNA is filed under the name Burkholderia sp. E19. Its description in RNAcentral is "bacterial SSU rRNA". It matches the Rfam family "Bacterial small subunit ribosomal RNA", at positions 26 to 609 of the family's 1533-position model. Lineage: Bacteria; Pseudomonadati; Pseudomonadota; Betaproteobacteria; Burkholderiales; Burkholderiaceae. The record is from RNAcentral.
GAAGAGAAGUUCUCGAAGCCUUACCACGCAAGUCGAACGGCAGCACGGGAGCAAUCCUGGUGGCGAGUGGCGAACGGGUGAGUAAUACAUCGGAACGUGUCCUGGAGUGGGGGAUAGCCCGGCGAAAGCCGGAUUAAUACCGCAUACGAUCUAUGGAUGAAAGCGGGGGACCGAAAGGCCUCGCGCUCAAGGGGCGGCCGAUGGCAGAUUAGCUAGUUGGUGGGGUAAAGGCCUACCAAGGCGACGAUCUGUAGCUGGUCUGAGAGGACGACCAGCCACACUGGGACUGAGACACGGCCCAGACUCCUACGGGAGGCAGCAGUGGGGAAUUUUGGACAAUGGGGGCAACCCUGAUCCAGCAAUGCCGCGUGUGUGAAGAAGGCCUUCGGGUUGUAAAGCAUUUUGUCCGGAAAGAAAACUUCCGCCCUAAUACGGUGGGAGGAUGACGGUACCGGAAGAAUAAGCACCGGCUAACUACGUGCCAGCAGCCGCGGUAAUACGUAGGGUGCAAGCGUUAAUCGGAAUUACUGGGCGUAAAGCGUGCGCAGGCGGUUCGCUAAGACCGAUGUGAAAUCCCCGGGCU